GACGAACGCUGGCGGCGCGCCUAACACAUGCAAGUCGAACGAGCGAGAGAGAGCUUGCUUUCUUGAGCGAGUGGCGAACGGGUGAGUAACGCGUGAGGAACCUGCCUCGAAGAGGGGGACAACAGUUGGAAACGACUGCUAAUACCGCAUAAGCCCACGACCCGGCAUCGGGUUGAGGGAAAAGGAGCAAUCCGCUUUGAGAUGGCCUCGCGUCCGAUUGGCUAGUUGGUGAGGUAACGGCCCACCAAGGCGACGAUCGGUAGCCGGACUGAGAGGUUGAACGGCCACAUUGGGACUGAGACACGGCCCAGACUCCUACGGGAGGCAGCAGUGGGGAAUAUUGCACAAUGGGGGAAACCCUGAUGCAGCGACGCCGCGUGGAGGAAGAAGGUCUUCGGAUUGUAAACUCCUGUUGUUGAGGAAGAUAAUGACGGUACUCAACAAGGAAGUGACGGCUAACUACGUG
This 466-nucleotide ribosomal RNA is filed under the name uncultured bacterium. Its description in RNAcentral is "partial 16S ribosomal RNA". It matches the Rfam family "Bacterial small subunit ribosomal RNA", at positions 28 to 507 of the family's 1533-position model. The record is from RNAcentral.